GACACCUUUGCCAGGCCUAGGCUGUGGUCUCUCAUUCAAGAAAACAACUUUUGCACUGUUGAUAAUGUAGGUCUGAACGGAAGUGAUAUCCAGAAAUUUCUGUAUUUCAUUCACCCUUAUCACAUCAUGGUACGAUGACCUCCGAAUCUGAAUGGCACGAUGGUCCUUAUGAUGAGAUAAACAAAUGGAACAAAGAGCACCAUCCAUACAAUCCAAACAGUACAUGUUACAUUCGCUCUUAUGAGAAUCAACAUGUAACUUGCAUUGAACGAAGAACCGUUCCUUCAACAAUGGCUUCAACCACGGUGGCCAUCUAUUAUCUUCCUCAUCAGGUCCUCCAGCUCCCAUGAUUCGCCUAUUCUUAGGCUUGAAUUCACGAACAGUGGUGUCUUGAUUAUCGAUCGCCAGCUUUGUAAAACAAAAAAAAAUAAAACUAUUUGUAUUUCUCGAAAGUAGUAACGCUUUGUGUAUUAGUGACAGUAAGAGAAAAAAUAAAAACUAUGGUUUGG
Molecule: unclassified non-coding RNA, 509 nt
Filed under: Hevea brasiliensis (rubber tree)
Lineage: Eukaryota; Viridiplantae; Streptophyta; Magnoliopsida; Malpighiales; Euphorbiaceae
Source: RNAcentral